AGGACGAACGCUGGCGGCGCGCUUAACACAUGCAAGUCGAGCGAGAACCAGGCCUUCGGGCCUGGGGACAGCGGCGAACGGGUGAGUAACACGUGGGUAAUCUGCCCUCGAUACUGGGAUAGCCCGGGGAAACCCGGAUUAAUACCGGAUGGCCCUUCGAGUCCUCGGACUUGAAGGAAAAGGUGCUUCGGCCUCCGAUCGAGGAUGAGCCCGCGGCGGAUUAGGCUUGGUUGGUGAGGUAACGGCCCACCGAAGGCGACGAUCCGUAGCUGGUCUGAGAGGACGAUCAGCCACACUGGGACUGAGACGACGGCCCAGACCUCCGUACGGGAGGCAGCGAGUGGGGAAUCUGACCAAGUGGACGAAGCCUGAGGCGAGCGACGCCGCGUGACGGAGAAGGCGUCGGGUUAGUAACGU
This 417-nucleotide ribosomal RNA is filed under the name uncultured soil bacterium. Its description in RNAcentral is "bacterial SSU rRNA". It matches the Rfam family "Bacterial small subunit ribosomal RNA", at positions 26 to 432 of the family's 1533-position model. The record is from RNAcentral.